ACCCUAUUAGCCGCGUCGCAUAGCGUAUCUCGCCGCGCCGUAACGUCCGCGCGGCUACGGACCGCGGUGCUGUACGACGUCGUAAAUACGAUAAAACUCGCCGGGACGAUACGCGCUGAAAUGUCUUAUACGGGCGAGGGCACCCACCCAUAUCUCGAAACCUGUGACGGGGUGACGGUCAUAGAUAGACGACCUAGGAUAAUGGGU
Cinara cedri is the source of this 207-nucleotide non-coding RNA. The record is from the annotation of a GenBank genome assembly. NCBI's taxonomy places the organism in Eukaryota, Metazoa, Arthropoda, Insecta, Hemiptera, Aphididae.